This 368-nucleotide ribosomal RNA is filed under the name uncultured bacterium. RNAcentral describes it as "bacterial SSU rRNA". It matches the Rfam family "Bacterial small subunit ribosomal RNA", at positions 525 to 896 of the family's 1533-position model. The record is from RNAcentral.
ACGUAGGUGGCGAGCGUUAUCCGGAAUGAUUGGGCGUAAAGGGUGCGUAGGUGGCAGAUCAAGUCUGGAGUAAAAGGUAUGGGCUCAACCCGUACUGGCUCUGGAAACUGAUCAGCUAGAGAACAGAAGAGGACGGCGGAACUCCAUGUGUAGCGGUAAAAUGCGUAGAUAUAUGGAAGAACACCGGUGGCGAAGGCGGCCGUCUGGUCUGGAUUCUGACACUGAAGCACGAAAGCGUGGGGAGCAAAUAGGAUUAGAUACCCUAGUAGUCCACGCCGUAAACGAUGAGAACUAGGUGUUGGGGGAAUAACUCAGUGCCGCAGUUAACGCAGUAAGUUCUCCGCCUGGGGAGUAUGCACGCAAGUGUG